CAUGAUAGUAGGUCUGGUCAGUAUGUAAAAUCACAAAAGUCAUGGCUAGAAUCAGGUUUGAGGUGAGAAUGGUGUUCAGAAAACGCUGCAUGUGACUUUUUACAAAAGCUGUUUUCAGGCCUCAAUGCUGCCUGGCAGAUGGAGAAGGAUUAACCCUGUUCAUGAAGCUUUCUAUGCAAUCAUACAGUGACCACACACAAGUGUCUACUGACUGCCACUGGACUUGCGGCAGUAGAAGCUAAGUACUCCAUGUACAGAAUGAGUAUGAUGAAAUGAGAAGAAAUACUUAAAGGGCUGGAAUCAGAAUGGACACCUGUAUCCCCAGAUCAAUGACUGCCAUAACAUUUGACCUGAAGAAGAAAUCUUUGAUUCAGCAAGGAACUUGAGGCUACUAAGCAUUGUAACAAAUCCUUUCCUCAGCAAAAGUGCUUAAUCACAUGUCUACCCUUAACUGCUGAAUUGAGGAGUUGAAUGAAGUGUCAGGUGUAAUCAUGUGUACUGAUGGUAGUGAUUUUGGUAAGUGAUGUGAGAAACUGAAAAUUCUUUUUAGAAUGAAGCAUAUUACUUUCUUUGGAUUUUUAAUCUUAAGCUUAAAUUUUUAGAAUUUUUUAAAAUCAUGUAAGUAACGU
Long non-coding RNA from Grus americana (Whooping crane), 629 nucleotides. RefSeq lists it as uncharacterized. The transcript has 4 exons. The record is from RefSeq and is a predicted model, not a curated record. NCBI's taxonomy places the organism in Eukaryota, Metazoa, Chordata, Aves, Gruiformes, Gruidae.